Molecule: transfer RNA, 73 nt
Filed under: Patescibacteria group bacterium
Lineage: Bacteria
Description: tRNA-Arg
Rfam family: tRNA
About the family: Transfer RNA (tRNA) molecules are approximately 80 nucleotides in length. Their secondary structure includes four short double-helical elements and three loops (D, anti-codon, and T loops).
Source: RNAcentral
GCUCUCGUAGCUUAAUGGAUAGAGCAUCAGCUUGCGGAGCUGACGGUUGCAAGUUCGAGUCUUGCCGAGAGCA